Molecule: non-coding RNA, 689 nt
Organism: Rattus norvegicus (Norway rat)
Lineage: Eukaryota; Metazoa; Chordata; Mammalia; Rodentia; Muridae
Source: RefSeq, a predicted model, not a curated record
UCCUCUCUUGAUGGUUUGAAAGAUUGCUUUUUAAGCUAGCUAUAUCACCACAGUGUAUAAUAAAACAUGUUUGCAGCACUUUUAUGACAACAGAAUCUCUUCGUGUUUUUCUGGCAUUAACAGCGGAGCCCAUUGCAAAGAAACCCUAGGAGACAAGAUUUGCUCAUACCUCAGAAUUUGAGAUUUGCUCUUUCUAUCUCUGUGAAGAGUUGAUUUGGAAUCUUGAUGGGGACUGCACUGAUUCUGUAGAUUGCUUAUGCCCUGGCUAUCCUGAAACUAACUCUGUGGAGCUCAAGGUCAGACAUUGGCCUUCUUCGGUAUCCCGACUGCUGGGAAGAAGAGGAUGAAGAACAGAAGUUUUGGAGUCUGGAGAGAUAGAUAACAUAGCUUUUAAGAGCAGAAACAGUGCACCAAGAGAAGAUUCACCUAGAAUUCACCACUUCACCACCAACCCAGAAACACACCAAGCUGCCCUGAGAAGCCCAUUAUUUCAGGAGGAUCUUCAGUUUUCUGUCACCUCUGUGCCCAGCAUCAUUCCACCUGCAACUCUUGAACCAUACAGCCCAAGGUUACCCAUUAGAGGGCUACCACACCAGAAUUUGAAGGUUCACCUUCCCUUUAAUACUAACUACAACAACAUCGAGGGACCAAAACCAUCCGGAUGGCCAAAGGUCCUUAGAAGAACACAA